CACCCCCACCGCAUUCCACCUGGCUGUGGAUUCCAUACGUAUGGUUAUUUGACUCUUUGUGAAAUAAUAAUUGUAUAUAUAUAUAUAUUGGUAUGUACAUAUAAUAACCCGGAUGCUGUGUUCAGUAUAUACUGUAUACAUUGGUGACAGUGGAAAAAUGGGUGCCUGUGGCCACAUAUAGUGCACACUGCUGGCAGUAGUUGGACAGGUGCAGGGGGCCAGCGCGUGGUUAAAAGACUGUUGGAUCAAAUCCACGAGCCGGCUACACCGAGUCUCGUGCCUUCAGACAGCCGUUAAGAAAAAGGAGCUGCGCACUUACCUCGAGAGGUCAAGGAGAAGCGGGACUGUGUGGCUCCGGUCGCUGAAUCCUCAGUGCGGUACAGAGAGUGAAAUUCUCCGCAUCACCCGACAAGCAGCCCAGAGGAGAGAGAAUCUGACCCCGGCAGAAGACAACUAACCGAGCGGUGAGCCAGGCAGCGGUGUAGAGCGGAAGGACUGCUGACGGCUUGCAGACACGCCGGGAGGAGGUACGGAGGCGGGCUGGAAGGCGGAGCGGCAGCUGACUGACAGCCGGGAAGAAGAGCGGAGGUGCGGCUGACAGCCUGCGGACACGCCUGGAGGAGGUACGGAGGCGGGCUGGAAGGCGGAGCGGCAGCUGACUGACAGCCGGGAAGAAUAGCGGAGGUGCGGCUGACGGCCUGCGGACACGCCUGGAGGAGGUGCGGGGGCGGGCUGGAAGUCGGAGCAGCUGCUGACGGCCAGAGCCGGCCAGAGGGAACAGCUGUGGGCAGCCCUGUUACCCGAACAGGCGGUGCAGGAGCAGCAGCGGGAUCCCUAUUAAGGGGACCUGAUAUAGGAGAGAGUCAUUACUACCAGCAACAAGGGUUCCAGUAUAAUAAAUAUUGUUAAAAUGGGUUACACUGUUGUUGACACUAUUGGUUGUGUUGUUAGAGUUAAAUAAUCAUAUCUUUACAAGUGUCUUAAAUUCUUCUGUUGUAAAGAACCAACCUCAUUAAAUACAUUGUUUGAAAUCAUCA
Long non-coding RNA from Pseudophryne corroboree (corroboree frog), 1037 nucleotides. RefSeq lists it as uncharacterized. The record is from RefSeq and is a predicted model, not a curated record. The transcript is spliced from 2 exons. Lineage: Eukaryota; Metazoa; Chordata; Amphibia; Anura; Myobatrachidae.